UUCCCGGGCAACGCAAGGCCCUGUCGCAGGCGCGCCUACCCGCUGGAUUCCGCGCAUGCGUGAGCCGUUCGGGAGCCCGCGUUAAUGUCCCGGAAGAGCAGCAUAUAGUGCGUGCUAGAGCUAAUGGAACCUACUUACUGGAACCUGCCUUUAACUUUUGAUGAAUUUGACCAUGAGCUGCUUCUCCUCUGCCAGUCACCUCUGCC
Chinchilla lanigera (long-tailed chinchilla) is the source of this 206-nucleotide long non-coding RNA. RefSeq lists it as uncharacterized. The record is from RefSeq and is a predicted model, not a curated record. NCBI's taxonomy places the organism in Eukaryota, Metazoa, Chordata, Mammalia, Rodentia, Chinchillidae. The transcript is spliced from 3 exons.